GGAGAAGCUACUAAGAGCUUACGGCGGAUGCCUUGGCGCUGAGUGCCGAUGAAGGACGUGGGUCACUGCGAUAAGCCUCGGGGAGCUGUGAACAAGCGCCGAUCCGGGGAUUUCCGAAUGGGGAAACCCACAGUUGCGAACCAACUGUAUCGCUGGCUGAAUCUAUAGG
This 169-nucleotide ribosomal RNA is filed under the name Planctomycetota bacterium. Its description in RNAcentral is "partial 23S ribosomal RNA". It matches the Rfam family "Bacterial large subunit ribosomal RNA", at positions 1 to 170 of the family's 2925-position model. Lineage: Bacteria; Pseudomonadati; Planctomycetota. The record is from RNAcentral.